GUUGUAUUCAUUUUUUACAUCAGCGUGUCGAUACCGUUGCUGGUGAACUAUCAGCCCCGAUGGUAUCAUCAGCUCAGUUAUCAGUACGUUGGACACAAAGGUUUUGACUCCCGUAGGGAUAUGUGAACUUAGAUUGAUCUUGCUAUCUUUUUGGUCAUACUACUCAACCGACCAGUUCAGUUCUGAUACAUCCUUGGCAUUUAAAUAUAAGGUUUUGAGCAUU
RNAcentral lists this long non-coding RNA (223 nucleotides) under Mytilus galloprovincialis (Mediterranean mussel). Lineage: Eukaryota; Metazoa; Mollusca; Bivalvia; Mytilida; Mytilidae. The record is from RNAcentral.